Molecule: ribosomal RNA, 420 nt
Filed under: uncultured bacterium
Lineage: Bacteria
Description: bacterial SSU rRNA
Rfam family: Bacterial small subunit ribosomal RNA
Source: RNAcentral
UAAGGAAUAUUGCUCAAUGGGAGAAAUCCUGAAGCAGCAACGCCGCGUGGAGGAUGAAGGGUCUAUGACUUGUAAACUCCUGUAAAGAAGGAAAAAAUUCCCAUUAGAUGGGAGAUGAUGGUACUUCUGGAGUAAGCCCCGGCUAACUACGUGCCAGCAGCCGCGGUAAUACGUAGGGGGCAAGCGUUGUCCGGAUUUACUGGGUGUAAAGGGUGCUCAGGCGGAUUUGUAAGUCAGAGGUGAAAUCUUACAGCUUAACUGUGAAACUGCCAUUGAUACUGCAAGCCUAGAGUAUGGAAGAGAGUGAUGGAAUAUCUGGUGUAGCAGUGAAAUGCGUAGAUAUCAGAUAGAACACCAAUGGCGAAGGCAGUCACUUGGUCCAUUACUGACGCUAAAGCACGAAAGCGUGGGUAGCAAACA